CGUGGAGCGAUUUGUCUGGUUUAUUCCGAUAACGAGCGAGACUCUAGCCUACUAAAUAGUCUGCACAUUGCUUUUGUGCUGCAGCACUUCUUAGAGGGAUUUUCGGUGUACAGCCGCACGAGAUUGAGCAAUAACAGGUCUGUGAUGCCCUUAGAUGUCCGGGGCUGCACGCGCGCUACACUGGCGAAAUCAGCGUGCCUGUCCUUUCCCGAAAGGGAUCGGUAAACCAUUGAAAAUUUGCCGUGAUUGGGAUCGAAAAUUGCAAUUAUUUUUCGUGAACGAGGAAUUCCAAGUAAAUGCGAGUCAUCAACUCGCGUUGAAUACGUCCCUGCCCUUUGUAC
RNAcentral lists this ribosomal RNA (341 nucleotides) under Nematoda environmental sample. RNAcentral describes it as "SSU rRNA". It matches the Rfam family "Eukaryotic small subunit ribosomal RNA", at positions 1300 to 1665 of the family's 1831-position model. Lineage: Eukaryota; Metazoa; Nematoda. The record is from RNAcentral.